UGUACGAGUACUAAUGGCGCUAUGUAAUUGUGCCUGUACUUGUUACAACAUCGCUGGGUUUUUGUAUUAAAGCCCGGUUAGAUUGUGUGUGUGGCUUAUGUGAUGGUCGAAAUAUGUACAUGUCGACUUGAAUGCUAAUUUGAAAAUUUUGUUGGAGCUGCUAUAGCGAGAUGCUUUGCGGUAGAUAAUUGGCAGUAAUACAGAACCAUGCAAGUAUUGUCGUGCUUUGAGCGUGACUUAUAAACUCAAUCUAUA
This 255-nucleotide unclassified non-coding RNA is filed under the name Parisotoma aff. notabilis L2. RNAcentral's name for it is "sequence contains ITS2". The record is from RNAcentral. Lineage: Eukaryota; Metazoa; Arthropoda; Collembola; Entomobryomorpha; Isotomidae.